Molecule: long non-coding RNA, 745 nt
Filed under: Rattus norvegicus (Norway rat)
Lineage: Eukaryota; Metazoa; Chordata; Mammalia; Rodentia; Muridae
Description: long non-coding RNA NONRATT004208
Source: RNAcentral
GGCGGCGGCGGCGGCGGCAGCUGCGGAGCUGAAGGGAACCCGACCGGAAGGGUCGCUGCGCCCCGCGCCCCUCACACCCACUGCGGCGGCGACGGGGCGGAGCAGAGCGGGGCGGGGCGGCCGGGUCCGGGUCCUGGAGCUGGGAGCCGCCAGAACGCAUCGCCGCCAGCGUGCCCUCCCUCUGCCUCCGGCGCGGCGGCGCGGAGCCGAGGGAUCUGACAAAGGUACCAGCUCUCCGGAAUCCUGUAUGACACUACAUCAUGAGUGACAGUAAAAGCGAUGGCCAGUUUUACAGUGUGCAAGUGGCAGACUCAACUUUCACUGUUCUAAAACGUUACCAGCAGUUGAAACCAAUUGGCUCUGGAGCCCAAGGAAUUGUUUGUUCUUGGAAUAAAUGUUGCUGUCAAGAAGUUAAGUCGUCCUUUUCAGAACCAAACGCAUGCAAAGAGAGCCUACCGUGAACUUGUCCUCCUAAAGUGUGUCAAUCAUAAAAAUAUAAUUAGCUUGUUAAAUGUGUUCACACCACAAAAAACGCUAGAAGAAUUCCAAGAUGUGUACUUGGUUAUGGAGUUAAUGGACGCUAACUUAUGUCAGGUUAUUCAUAUGGAGCUGGACCAUGAAAGAAUGUCAUACCUCCUCUACCAGAUGCUUUGUGGCAUUAAGCACCUGCAUUCAGCUGGCAUAAUUCAUAGGGAUUUGAAGCCUAGCAACAUUGUAGUAAAAUCAGACUGUACUCUCAAGAUCC